UCCUCGGUAGUAUAUCGGCUAGUACACCCGCCUGUCAUCGAGUGGCAACAUUCCUUUCGCGGGAGAGCGGGGUUCGACUCCCCGCCGAGGAG
This 92-nucleotide transfer RNA is filed under the name Schizophyllum commune Loenen D. Its description in RNAcentral is "tRNA-Asp". It matches the Rfam family "tRNA". From Rfam's summary of the family: Transfer RNA (tRNA) molecules are approximately 80 nucleotides in length. Lineage: Eukaryota; Fungi; Basidiomycota; Agaricomycetes; Agaricales; Schizophyllaceae. The record is from RNAcentral.